GCCUGAUCUCUUUAGGGAAGGAACAAUACUACACUGUCAGAAAUUAAGAAUUUAAAUCUUCCUCUUAUUCAUUUCCAAAGUACCUGAAACUCUUUACCAGGUCAGUGUGCUUUGUGGAAGAGAAAUAAAUGCUCUUCAUAGGCUCUAAAGAGAUACUUAUUCUUAGGAACCCAAAGUGUUGUUAUGGUUCAUUAGUCAAAGUAGGAGUUUACAGAAUUGAUUAAUGUAGUUUUAGCACAGUUCUAUCUCACAUGGGGCCAGAAGGUCCCCAAAUCUAUUCUGUGGUAUUUUUUCUCCAAUUCCAAAAUGCAAAGUUGGAAUCCAAAUACUCAGCCCUGGAAAUAUUUCUAUACGGGUUUCUUGAUUUGUUGACUGAGGACUAUUACAGAAGAAAUAUGAAGUUGAACUGUCUCUACUACCAAAGUAAUAAAAGCAAUAACCACACUCAUGGAAGAGAUGUGGAGAUUAGCGCCUCCAUCAGGAACUUAAAGGACGCAGGGGCUGUGCAGGAGACUUGAAUCUUGGAAAAUGGCAAUAGAAUAUAAACUUAAUCAUAUGGCGACUCCAGUGGUAACUGCUGUUCAGUUGUGUGUGUGUGUUCAUUUCAUUGAAAAAAAUGAACACAAUCCAUUACCAGGUAUGUGGCUAUAAAUCUGGUGAAUGCUUUUAUGGCUAUAUUUUUUAAUGAAGUGUACUGAAACAGUUUGCUUUCAGCUGGCAGAAUCUGCAAAAUUGUCUAACUUCCAGACUAUAUCAACUCUGCAGUCCUAUGUAAUAAUAUAUCCAUGAGAAUCUUGGUGACCUCUGCAUUCCACGGGACAUGAUGCUGGCCUUCUACAGUGCUGAUCAGACCUAGUAAGCACAAAGUCGCAAAUAUCCCAGACACCCUGACCACAGACACACAUGUAUACCAAGGACAGGAAUAAAUACCUAAAACUGUAAGGCACUGCCACCUUCUUAGAUGUCUUGGUGAGAGGUCCACUGUUCAGAGGGCACACUGAGAUAUAAGGCGAAGGCCUUUUUGGAUCUGUAGUGUGCUACCUCUUUAAUGGGAAAUCUUAGAGGCUAUCAGUAUUGAAUGGUGACCAGAGGAAAAUACUGCUCUACAUAUAGGUCUGGGCUGUCAUACAAACUGAUCUGCUACUGGGGCCUCAUGACCUAGCAGAUCCAAAAGUAUUCAACAUGUUUGUGGCAGAUGCAAAUGCUGUUUAGAACCUUCGAGAGGUCGCUGUAGAAGCACAAUGCAAAACUUCAGGAUUUUGGAGCAAAACUUUGUCAUCUUUUGCACACACAGUGUUCUCUUUUGAUAGCUCCUGGUGUGCUACUGGACCUUAGUAGAGAUAGAAUGUCUGACUCUGAGCCACUAAGUAACCAUUCAACCUCUUCUGCCCUUCAAGAACUGGGAAAUGUCUGAAAAAACAAGUAAUGAAACGUGUGUAUAGCAGCACUCCAUUACAAGUUGUAGUUUUAUAUACGAGAUUGGUCUCAAGCAAGACCUAAAGGUAAAAGUAAGAGGCUCAGAUUUGCAUGGCUCCUCCUCUUGCUGCAUUAACUGCUGUCUCUCAACGCAAGCAUACUGUAACAUAUUGAUGGAGGAGGAAAAUGCUGAGUCUCGUUUACUGAUAAUUCUAUGUAACAUGCUGGCAUCACCUAAAGUGGAGAACUGCGAGAUUACUGCCCCAUCCAAGAAAACCCUUCAGCAGCCCCAUUCUUCAGGAACCGUGAAGGACUAUGGCAAAGAACUAUCUGAUGAUGAAACGACCCAGACUCAAUUUUCCCAACUUCAGAGCCUUUUCUAUCCAUGAUCCCUCAUUCCUGCCUUUCUUGCCAUUCCUGUCCUGUCUCUCAACCUGACAAUGAAGCAUUUAUAUCGGAUCAAAUGAAACUCGCAUACUUUCUGUGACUUAAAAUCAGAAGUUUCCCUUGUCAAUUUCCCUUGCCACCUCUAAGAAAAGCUUAUCUAUGUUAAGUUCCUUUUUACUGAUUUGUAUUUUUAUGUUCCCCCAAAAUUUCACAUUGAUAUAUAAGAAUUUUCUGUUGCUAGUUUAAAUAAUUUUCUGCAUGAUUCAAUGAUUAUAAAUAUUUAUCUCCAAAAUAAUAUGAUCUAUUUUUCUUUAUUUAUCCUCAGUAUAUAUUUCCUUUAACUGAGAUCCAGUCAUCUGAAGUAUCUAGGUAGACUUGAUUUGAUAUAAAAUUAUAAACUAACCCUCUUAAGAAAAUGUCCAAAGUGACAUUUAGACAUUUGCUCUUUCAUGAAAGAUUCUAACAUAUAUUAUUGUGGUUAUUAUUAUCAAUAUUAUCUCCAAAAUUAUAUUGCAACUCUUUAGUUAGGUAAGUAAAGAUCCUGCUCUUCUGGAAACUGCCUGCUUCCCUUUCCAUAAAAUAGUUAAGUUUCUUUAACUAUUUUCUUCUAAUUCAAACGCUUUACCACAUGACUUUUUUUAGACCAUUAUGGAAAAGAAAGUCAAAACAUUGCUGGGUAUAAG
This 2486-nucleotide long non-coding RNA is filed under the name Homo sapiens (human). Its description in RNAcentral is "HSALNT0325069". Lineage: Eukaryota; Metazoa; Chordata; Mammalia; Primates; Hominidae. The record is from RNAcentral.